CACAACUCUUUAUUUAUUUGAUUUUUUAUCUAUAUGCCAGAUAGGGCUGGCUGUUGUAAUAGGAGCCACCAGCAGCCCUGGAUGGAGAAAAGAUGGUCCAGGAGACAGACAUACCUACAAUGCUGCAUAGGCCAGGCCUGGGUGCUGGGCCUGAGCUUACAUGGAUCCUGGGGAGAUGAGCAGGCCUGUGUGGCUGAGGGUCCUAGCUGAGGCCACUCAGGGCAAUGGCAGCCUACAGGUGCCCUCAGGGCUGUCACACUUGGAGGUGCUUUGGUUUAAAUUGGACAUAAUGCAUGGGAAUAGGGCUGCUUAGGUUCUGGUUGGGUGGUUCUUCCUUUUUGUGUGCCUGCCCUGAUAGUGCUGCAUGUAUGGGGGGAAAUAGACUGGCUACAGCACCCCAAGGGUCUGUUUGUCUUUCCUUUGAAACUACAACGUGGUGGAUUCAGCAACAUGAGUUCUUCAGAAAAACAAAAUGCAAGUGGAGAGAACACAGAGAAAUGCAAGGGUAAGUAAUAAGAUCUGAAAGUUAAAAGGUUGAGUAAAUUCAAAUAUGGUACACUUAUCUGCAG
RNAcentral lists this long non-coding RNA (569 nucleotides) under Anser brachyrhynchus (Pink-footed goose). RNAcentral describes it as "lncRNA (ENSABRG00000006653.1)". Lineage: Eukaryota; Metazoa; Chordata; Aves; Anseriformes; Anatidae. The record is from RNAcentral.